ACCCCAGUGGCCUAAUGGAUAAGUCACUGGCCUCCUAAGCCAGGAAUUGUGGGUUCGAGUCCCAUCUGGGGUG
Non-coding RNA from Enhydra lutris kenyoni (northern sea otter), 73 nucleotides. The record is from the annotation of a RefSeq genome assembly. Lineage: Eukaryota; Metazoa; Chordata; Mammalia; Carnivora; Mustelidae.